This 506-nucleotide ribosomal RNA is filed under the name uncultured bacterium. RNAcentral's name for it is "partial 16S ribosomal RNA". It matches the Rfam family "Bacterial small subunit ribosomal RNA", at positions 29 to 523 of the family's 1533-position model. The record is from RNAcentral.
AUUGAACGCUGGCGGCAGGCCUAACACAUGCAAGUCGAACGGUAACAGGAAGCAGCUUGCUGCUUCGCUGACGAGUGGCGGACGGGUGAGUAAUGUCUGGGAAACUGCCUGAUGGAGGGGGAUAACUACUGGAAACGGUAGCUAAUACCGCAUAACGUCGCAAGACCAAAGAGGGGGACCUUCGGGCCUCUGGCCAUCGGAUGAGCCCAGAUGGGAUGAGCUAGUAGGUGGGGUAACGGCUCACCUAGGCGACGAGCCCUAGCUGGUCUGAGAGGAUGACCAGCCAAACUGGAACUGAGACACGGUCCAGACUCCUACGGGAGGCAGCAGUGGGGAAUAUUGCACAAUGGGAGCAAGCCUGAUGCAGCCAUGCCGCGUGUAUGAAGAAGGCCUUCGGGUUGUAAAGUACUUUCAGCGGGGAGGAAGGCGAUAAGGUUAAUAACCUUGUCGAUUGACGUUACCCGCAGAAGAAGCACCGGCUAACUCCGUGCCAGCCGCCGCAGUAA